RNAcentral lists this ribosomal RNA (406 nucleotides) under uncultured bacterium. RNAcentral describes it as "bacterial SSU rRNA". It matches the Rfam family "Bacterial small subunit ribosomal RNA", at positions 976 to 1381 of the family's 1533-position model. The record is from RNAcentral.
AGCCCUUGACAUGGACGUCGCGACUUCAGAGAUGAAGUUUUCGGUUCGGCCGGACGUUACACAGGUGCUGCAUGGCUGUCGUCAGCUCGUGUCGUGAGAUGUUGGGUUAAGUCCCGCAACGAGCGCAACCCUCAUCCUUAGUUGCCAUCAGUUCGGCUGGGCACUCUAGGGAAACUGCCGGUGAUAAGCCGGAGGAAGGUGGGGAUGACGUCAAGUCCUCAUGGCCCUUAUGGGCUGGGCUACACACGUGCUACAAUGGCGACUACAGUGGGCAGCGACAUCGCGAGGUGAAGCUAAUCUCCAAAAGUCGUCUCAGUUCGGAUUGCACUCUGCAACUCGGGUGCAUGAAGUUGGAAUCGCUAGUAAUCGCGGAACAGCAUGCCGCGGUGAAUACGUUCCCGGGCCU